UGGCCAUCAGAUCCUAGGGAUUGUUAACCAUCAUAUUUGAUGUUGUUGACCUAUAUACUCGAAAAAUCCUAUGAUCCGGAAUCUGUAAUUAUCCUCUCCUCGU
RNAcentral lists this small RNA (103 nucleotides) under Arabidopsis thaliana (thale cress). RNAcentral describes it as "ATSL042030". The record is from RNAcentral. Lineage: Eukaryota; Viridiplantae; Streptophyta; Magnoliopsida; Brassicales; Brassicaceae.